UACAUGGGGUGCAAACGUUGCUCGGAAUUACUGGGCGUAAAGCGCGUGUAGGCGGCUAUGUAAGUCGGGCGUGAAAUCCCACGGCUCAACCGUGGAAGUGCACCCGAAACUGCGUAGCUAGAGUCCUGGAGAGGAAGGUGGAAUGCUUGGUGUAGAGGUGAAAUUCGUAGAUAUCAAGCGGAACACCGGUGGCGAAGGCGGCCUUCUGGACAGUGACUGACGCUGAGACGCGAAAGCGUGGGGAGCAAACAGG
Molecule: ribosomal RNA, 253 nt
Filed under: uncultured bacterium
Lineage: Bacteria
Description: partial 16S ribosomal RNA
Rfam family: Bacterial small subunit ribosomal RNA
Source: RNAcentral